RNAcentral lists this small nuclear RNA (113 nucleotides) under Leptobrachium leishanense (Leishan spiny toad). Its description in RNAcentral is "U5 spliceosomal RNA (ENSLLEG00000014867.1)". It matches the Rfam family "U5 spliceosomal RNA". Rfam says of the family: U5 RNA is a component of both types of known spliceosome. The precise function of this molecule is unknown, though it is known that the 5' loop is required for splice site selection and p220 binding, and that both the 3' stem-loop and the Sm site are important for Sm protein binding and cap methylation. Lineage: Eukaryota; Metazoa; Chordata; Amphibia; Anura; Megophryidae. The record is from Rfam by way of RNAcentral.
AUACUCUGGUUUCUCUUCAAUCUAAUAAAUCUUUCGCCUUUUACUAAAGAUUUCCGUGGGGUAUAACAAGUACGAGUUAAUGGGAAUUUUGCAGGUCUGACCUCGGUCAGGCU